RNAcentral lists this long non-coding RNA (6524 nucleotides) under Podarcis lilfordi (Lilford's wall lizard). Lineage: Eukaryota; Metazoa; Chordata; Lepidosauria; Squamata; Lacertidae. The record is from RNAcentral.
GGUUCUUUGGCAGGCCCAGAUCUUCUCCAACCCAAAGUACGUCAUUUUGUGUGCCUCUGCAGACAACCUUAGGUGGUAACAUUGCUACUAGUAGUGUUGCCUGGUGUGCUUUCUGCAGCUGCAGUGAGGACUUUCACAGUGGCAGAAGCUUCCUGCGAGUAAACAGGGACAUCUAUUGGAUGCUAAACCCCUCCAGAAGUGCAGACUGGUGGGGUUAGGACUGCAGUCCUUGUCACACAAAGGUUUCAUUGACAUUAGGUAAGGUAAAGGUACCCCUGCCCGUACGGGCCAGUCGUGUCCGACUCUAGGGUUGUGCACUCAUCUCACUUAAGAGGCCGGGAGCCAGCGCUGUCCGCAGACACUUCCAGGUCACGUGGUCAGCGUGACGAAGCUGCUCUGGCGAGCCAGCACCAGCGCAGCACACGGAAACGCUGUUUACCUUCCCGCUAUAAAGCAGUACCUAUUUAUCUACUUGCACUUAGGGGUGCUUUCGAACUGCUAGGUGGGCAGGAGCUGGGACCGAGAGACAGGAGCUCACCCCGCCGCGGGGAUUCGAACCGCCGACCAUACGAUCAGCAAGUCCUAGGCACUGAGGUUUUACCCACAGCGCCACCCGCGUCCCACUUCAUUGACAUUAGCAGGUCAUAAAUUAGUCACAACUAAACAGACCUAUUGACUUUUACUUGGAUUUAAGCCAAGCUUCUCACCUUUUAUAGAGAAAAUCCAAUCACCUUAUUUCAAUUCACUAUUCUGUUUUAAAGUAAAUUUAUGUAUGAUUUUGAGACUAUCUGAACAUUGAGCUGAUUAUCACCAAGUACUUGAGGAAAGACUCUAGGUCAUUAUCUCAACUAUAAAAAGAUCUUUGAUUUUUUUUUUAAUUGACUCCCUUCUGCUCAUGUUGCCUUUAGAAAGUAAUUUGUACUGUACAGAAUAGAAGGUUACAUUAGAAAGCCCAUCCGUUACCUUGGCAAGAAUAGAUUUCCUGUUGAGCUUAACAAAUGUGAGCAUUAUAUUGUUGCGAACAGUGCAUUUGGUUGGAAAACUGAAUGGAUUGCUGUAAUAUCUGCAUGUACGGAGUCAAACAUUAUGGGCCACUUUAUUUGUGAAGCAGUGACGAAUCAAACUCUGAUUUGCUUGCUUUUGCAAAGCUUGCUUUUUCAGAAGUGUAUCGGGGACUGGGCCCUUCCAUUAAAAACACUUUGUCCAGCCUUCUUUCUUUGCUUGCAUUGGUUUAUAUUGACAAAUAAUCUUGUGGCAUCUGUGAGUACAGAAAACAAAUGGCGGUGCUAGAAGUGUGGAACUUUUUAUUCCGAAAGAGGGUUUCGGAAUAACACUGGUUAAGCUGCCAUACUUCUUCAUGCUUCAAGGCAACACUUUAUUUGAUAGCAAAUUUAGCUUCAAAAUCUUUUCUCUCAAAACCUAGCAACUGUGUGUGAUUUUUAAGCCAAGGUACAUAUUACUAGUUGUAUGAAGAUUAAAUAGAUUAUCUGAAGCUGUCAAAAAGAUGAGUGAUUUAUGAUAUGCAAAGGAUUGGGGCAGUGUAAUUAGCUGCCACUUAACAGUACCAGGAUAAUAAUAAAAAAUAUGUUGCUGCAGCAUAAAAGGAAACUGCAAUAUAUCUAGUUCAGUUAUGAGAAUUAGCUAAAUGCCUUUGUAAUAAAAAUGCUUAUAUAUAAAAGCGAAAUGAGGAGUUAUUUUUAAUGCAAGCCUAAUCUUUUCAGAGCUCAAGAGAGCAACGUUAAUGGCUUCUAAGGAAAGUUAUAAUUAUGGCUGCAUUUAUUGUAGACUUCAAGAUGAAUAGCACAACAUUAAAUGGUUUCAGGAGUCUUUUAAGUAGUCAACAUGGAAAUGCAAGCUUAAAAACUACCAAUACACAUUUUAAUCUUCCCCAUAAGUCACUGAAUGAAAGACAUACUAGAUAUAUUUUUUAAAUGUUUAUUAGUCUUUGUUUCCAUAUUUGAGUUUCUAUUUACACUAAUAAAAAUUAACUUCUAAUAGAGAGAUUCUGUCCAUCAGGGUAUUUCUGAAAUGAACUGAUUUACUUUUAUGCUUUUCCUUCAUUCGUCACAUAAAAUAUCAUCAGGUGUAAAAUAUAGCAAACCUUUCAGUAAGUUGUCACUCUUGGUUGUAUUCAAGACAUAUCUAUUUAUUGAAGGCAUACCUAUAUUUUAAUAUCCAAUAAUGGAAAGGUCUGUAAUCAUGCAUACUUAAUGUUUUAUUCAAUAAUCUUUUAAAAAAUUGAAAAGCAAAAAACAGCAAACAAAUUUAUUUUUACAAGCUGUGACUUGAAUUAACUUAUCAUCAGUGAUGUAGGAUUUUAGCAUUUUGUGACCAGUAGGAGGCUGCCCUCAAACUGACUUGAUAAUACAACAUUUACAUACCAUCUACCAGACAUGUGAGCAACAGAGCUAUUAGUCAUUUUUUUAAAAAGGAAUGUAUCCACACAUACAUGCAUAAAUCAGCUUUGUGGUUGAGAUAAGGCUACAGAUUUGUGCAUUCAUUUAUUUCAAAGUCCCUUCCUUGAUGUUGAGGGAACAUUUCAAAAAGUUUGAUCCACUAAAAAUGUUCUGUCCUUUGCCUGAGGUGCUGCAUUCACAACUCUCCCACUGUGAGUAACUAGAUGUAUCUCUCCUACACCCCAGCAGUACUUUGCUCAAGUGCCAGUGUGUUAUCUUUUCCCACUUAAAAGACCACAUGCUUCAAAAUAGUUCUAUUUCUUUCUCCCACUAGACUAGACUAUUUCUGAAACAAAAUGGGUAAUAUGCUUCCAAGUUUAUUUCUAGGUCGCUAUUUUCUGAGGAAGGAAAAGUUUUCUCAUUCUAUUUAGUGUUUUCUUUGGGAGAAAAUAUAUUAUCUAACCUUUAUAAUGAGUAUUUAUAUUAUGCAUUAGGAAAACCCCACAAGCAACAAAUUUUAAAAUUAUUGUCAUGUUAUGAGGAAAAUGUUGAUUUCACUUUGUCUUAGUGGUAGCUUUCCUGCCAGAGAUCUGAAGAGUUUUGGUCUGGGUAUUGAGAAUGUUAUGUCUUCCUCAUAGAACUACAUUUUUUGGGUUUCACUGGUAGAGGGUGUAAGUUCUAAAUGGGUGAUCUGUCAUUCACCUAUAGCUAGGCCCUAUAUGCUUACCAGGGUGAUCAGAUAUUAACAUGCUGAAGAGAGGAGUUUGCUUUAUUUUGCAGAAUUGAUGGAGACGUUUUCCUUUUACAAUACAAUAACUUUCAAAAGCCUGUUGUGAUGAUGCAUGUCAGUUUGCAGUCUCUUUCAAGAUAAGUUAAACAUUUUUCUUUGUGUUCCAUGUUUUUUGAGAAGUCAGUGUUCCCUGUUAGCAGUGAGUGAACAUAAAAUAAACAAAUGUCUAAAAAUAUAUAGGCUUAGCUCAUGUCAGCCUGUAUCAGAAUCAGAAUUUUGCUGCAGAAAAGAAAAAGCCAAAGGCAGCAGCAAUUACAAUAAUUAGAAAUGCUGUUUUAGAAUGUUGUUGUGUACUUGCUCUUAACUGCAGCACUGCUGCUUUGAUGGCAUUGUUCAGUGAAACAUAUGUCGGAACUUCACAGGAAUAAACAUGGAAACAGACUGUCCGAGCUUGUGUUCAGAUUUCUACAUUAGGUCAAACAAUCUGGUUACUGGAUUUUCACACUGUCCGUUUCACUUUCUGACAUCAUAAUCAUCCUUAGGUAUUUACAGCACUUCCACACUUUGUGUAACAAACAUUUUUGCUGUGGGUACCCUGGUGGUUUUGGCAGCAACUGUAUGGCAUGCAGACAUCUUUAAAAUCCAUUUUGUACCUAUAAUGGAGCCCCAGUGACUCAUGGUUACGAAGCAUUGUGCAGAGGUGGAAAGACAUGCAAUUUGCAUAAAGCACAUAUAAGCAAUUCACACUUUAUGAACUGAAUCCAUUUGCAGAAGGUGUUUGGAUUCAGUGAAGACACCUGCUCAUGGAAGGGGUGCCAGACCAUUUCCACUAAUUUUCCUUGCAGACCUCUGUGCCACUUGAAAAUGUGCUGUGGGUUAUUGGAAUAUCCUCUGAAACAGAAAGGAAGUUGGCACAGUGUCUUGCAGUGGAGGAGAGUCAGUGCAAAUCAUAUCCUUUCCUUCCAUGACCAGAAGCAUCAGCUAAAUCUGAGCUUAUGUGUUUCCUGUGGAAGACAUUCAAGGCUGGCUCCAGAUGGUGAUGAAAACAGGCAUUUGAAAAAGAAUCUAUGGCCACAACCAGGAGCACCUGGUGCUGUGGAGGUGGCCUACUACAGUAGUGUCAAUGCCACUUACUAGGAUGGUGCAGGCAGUGUGCAUGCCCCAAUGAAGCCUAUCCAGUACUCUCAGAGGUGUGCUCAGCCUCCCGCAACUUCAGCAACUGCAGAACUCUAGUACAAGUGGCAACAUCACUUCUCCACAACAAGGCUCCACUGGCCACUCUUGGCCCCAGCAAUGCUGAUAUUCUCACUUUGCACUGAGCACAUUAAAAGGUCAGAGGCAGAGAGAACUCAUAGUUUGAACCAGGCUUUUUUCCAAGUCAAGGAGGCCCACUGAGAGCAUUUUGCACCAAGACCUCCCCAAUCUGGGAGAUGGCUUCUGUGAUGGCACACUGGGAAUUGCUUCCUCUUUAGUACUGUGGUGUCAUCAGAGCUUACCGUCCAACAAUAGGGGCGUCCAACCACACUCUCUAACAUUUCUCCAGUCCUAAGGAAAAGUGGGACAUUCUGGGAUCAAAUCAGAAACCGGGAUGGCUUCUGUAAAUCCAAGACUGGCCUUGUAAAAUAGGGACUCUUGGAGGGUCUGCCAGAACCAGCUUCAUCUCUGAGGGUGGUAUAUUUGGUGACAGUGAUAAAUGGCAGGAAGAGAAACAGCAGCACUCUGAACAGCUUUGGCCAGAUGGGUAUAGCUGCUAUUUUGAUUUUCUACAUACUCUGGGAAAUUAUUAUACAGGCUUUUAAGUGCAUUGGCUGGAACAUUUCUUAAAGGGCCAUGUUGUUUCUGCCUUUGGAAGGACUGACUCUUGUUCUCUAUUUAAGUUGUUUAUUGUAUUUCUAUAUAAAAUGUUGGCUUUAUCCUGAGUUGUUUUAGCUACUGUUGCUUUGUUGUUGCAGCUCUACUACAUAUUGAGGGUUCCUUAUACACGGCAACACAGGAUAAAAUAAAUAAAUAAAGGAAAUAAAAAACGUCCAGUUUUCUGAAGAGCUAUUCUUUGUACAUUGCCCUACAGCAAGAUUUUUUUUAAAAAAGAUUGCUUUUAAAAUGUUCCUUGUUAUUAGUUUUCUAUGUGGACAUUUUAUUUUGUUAAAGUAUUGUACGCGUUCCAGUUCAGUAAGUUCAGCUAAGCCUUUGCAGGCUUGCUUGUAUCUCUUGAGAAGAAGUAUGCUGUAAUAUGCAUUUUAAUGUUUAGCGUUUCAAAUGACAUUUGUACAAAUGUUUCUUGUACACAGGUAUUAUAAAUUAGAAGUUGCUGGCUAUGUUAUAUGCAGGAUUCUCUCAAAACCUGGAAGUCCAAACAAAUUCAUUUUAAUUAUAGCCAUGCAGAAGAUUAGCCCUUCAUUACAGGUCUUAUGACUAUGCUUUGAAGAAAAUUAACAGCUCACAGUUGUCAUUUCAAAACUAGAGUUUUAGAAAAGUUGCAUAUUUCCCAAAGACCUAAAGUUGCUAUUUUCAGAAAACUCUCAGCUGAUUCCACUAAAACAACUAGCACAAAAGUCACCCAAGUUAAAAGUCAUGCAAGUUAAUAGUUGAACUAUUUCUGUGUGAGAAAUUAAUUCUACUUUUUUGGGGCAAUGAUUUCUUUCAUCUCUAGCUUAAAUGAAAAGCAGGUUUUGAGGGCAAAUUUGCUCUUAAUCAUUACUAUUACCAGGAAUGUGAAGGCGUCCGAAUUAUGUGAAAUACAUGUAGUAGAAAACAGUAAAAAUAGAGUAGCUUUCGUACUCUCAGCAAUAUGCGUACAACUUCAGGUGUUUUUACAAGCAUCCAUAACCUCUUUCUUUUUGAUCAGGUUUAUAAAGUAGUGACAAUCACCACAUGUAUGGGAUAUGAACAUGUCAGUUCCAAAUGGGUCACCUCUCUCUAAUUGAAAUUUUCUCAGUAGCAGGGUCAGCUGGUGAUCAGCUACAGAGCGCCAUGAACCCAAGUAGUCUGUAUCCGUUACAAUACGUAUCUGCUUGGUCUCUCUUGUUCUCUCUGCCUGUAUGAAAAUGCCCUUAAAUCAAUUGCAUAGAGUAUGGUGCUGAUAAUGUCAAGGUCGCAGGUUUGAUCCCCGUAUGGGACAGCUGCAUAUUCCUGCAUUGCAGGGGGUUGGACUAGAUGAUCCUCGGGGUCCCUUCCAACUCUUCAAUUCUAUGAUUCUAUGAUUCUAUGAUUCUACUUGGGUUUUCAGAAAUUGAGAGCAGAACAUUACAUUUACAUAUUUUCUAGAAAGUAAGGCAGCAUUUAACAGACAGUAGGUUAUGAAUACUGUAACUAAUGCUUUUGAAAGUCUGUCGGUCUGUGGGAGAUUUUCAACCUUGCAUAAAAGGGCAUGAGAAAAUUUCAGUUCUAUUUGGACCUUC